RNAcentral lists this ribosomal RNA (253 nucleotides) under uncultured bacterium. RNAcentral describes it as "partial 16S ribosomal RNA". It matches the Rfam family "Bacterial small subunit ribosomal RNA", at positions 524 to 776 of the family's 1533-position model. The record is from RNAcentral.
GACGUAGGGUCCGAGCGUUGUCCGGAGUUACUGGGCGUAAAGGGCGCGUAGGCGGCUUUGUGCGUCACACGUGAAAGCCCCUGGCUUAACCAGGGAGGGUCGUGUGAAACGGCGAAGCUGGAGGCAGAGAGAGGCUGGUGGAAUUCCCGGAGUAGUGGUGAAAUGCGUAGAUAUCGGGAGGAACACCGGUGGCGAAGGCGGCCAGCUGGCUCUGACCUGACGCUGAGGCGCGAAGGCGUGGGGAGCGAACAGG